This 237-nucleotide non-coding RNA is filed under the name Bacillus sp. (in: firmicutes). RNAcentral's name for it is "Bacillus sp. T-box sequence". It matches the Rfam family "T-box leader". Rfam says of the family: Uncharged tRNA acts as the effector for transcription antitermination of genes in the T-box leader family. The record is from RNAcentral. Lineage: Bacteria; Bacillati; Bacillota; Bacilli; Caryophanales; Bacillaceae.
UUUUAAACGAUGACAGGGACAGUACAAUUAUUUACAUGUCUUAUAAUAUAUAGCGAACCAAGGAUAGUGAAAGCUUGGUAUAAGCAAAUAAUUGGAACAUCACCCUAGAGUUCUUGAAUUGAACACCUUUAUGGUCAGUAGAUAAUAGCGAAUCAUUCACGAUACGAAUGCUAAGAGGCGGAUAAUCUAUGAUUAUCUACUAGGGUGGUACCGCGGGAAAACCUUCUCGUCCCUUUA